RNAcentral lists this ribosomal RNA (324 nucleotides) under Ochromonas sp. CCMP1393. RNAcentral's name for it is "partial Bacterial small subunit ribosomal RNA". It matches the Rfam family "Bacterial small subunit ribosomal RNA", at positions 765 to 1088 of the family's 1533-position model. The record is from RNAcentral. Lineage: Eukaryota; Chrysophyceae; Chromulinales; Chromulinaceae.
GUAGCGAACAGGAUUAGAUACCCUGGUAGUCCACACCGUAAACGCUGUCUACUAGCUGUGUGUGCCUUUAAGGCGUGCGUAGCGAAGCUAACGCGCUAAGUAGACCGCCUGGGGAGUACGGCCGCAAGGUUAAAACUCAAAUGAAUUGACGGGGGCCCGCACAAGCGGUGGAGCAUGUGGUUUAAUUCGAUGCAACGCGAAGAACCUUACCUACACUUGACAUGCUGAGAAGUUACUAGAGAUAGUUUCGUGCCUUCGGGAACUCAGACACAGGUGCUGCAUGGCUGUCGUCAGCUCGUGUCGUGAGAUGUUGGGUUAAGUCCC